UGGAUGGAACCAGAGGAAAAUAGAGGAAACCAGAUGGAACUGGAUGAAACUAGCAGUAACUAGCAGCAGGAACACAUUUGCCCCUUAGUCCUGAUGAGCAUGCAGACCAUUAUUAGCAAGGAAGCUAGCUUGUUUUUUGCACCAAAGUUACCAGGUGAUGCUGAUGCUCCUGCUGACACUCCUCACCCAGGGAUCACACUUUGA
Molecule: long non-coding RNA, 204 nt
Filed under: Callithrix jacchus (white-tufted-ear marmoset)
Lineage: Eukaryota; Metazoa; Chordata; Mammalia; Primates; Cebidae
Description: lncRNA (ENSCJAG00000083220.1)
Source: RNAcentral